AGUCAGGAAAGAUGGCGGGGCGCAUUGGAGUUGUUUGUUGUGUUUGUUAUGCGUGCUCGCGAAGUCGUCGUCCCAUGCGUACUCUCUGCUGGUUUCAAGUGGGAGACUGUACUGUUCAACAGGAACGCACAGUGACAGCUCUUCAAAUGCGUCUGCGAUGUGUCUGCGGUGAAUUCGGCGAAAAAGCGGUGACCGAGUCGGGUGGGAGUGGUUGACCCUCUAUAGGGCCCCCCUCGACGAUGAACCCCCCUCCGCUAUGUGGCAUCAAAUUGGGGACGCUCGGUUUGACGUGACCUGUUCCUGCCCUGUCGGGCGUACUGUUUUUGACGUUCGUCCGCACCGCCUUGUCGAGCGAUCACUGUGACCGCAGUGCGACCCACAGGAACUUUCGCUUUUGAGGGGCUCUUGGACAGUGGACGUUUUAGGCAGAGGGGGCAACGCAAUCCGUGAGAGGAACCCGAUAUCUUUCCUGCUUUCCUGCCGCGACGUUGUCGCUUGUUCAUGUUCUCCGGCUGCCAUUAGAGUAAUCUGGCGUCGCGUACUUGCGCAACAACCAGUUGAAUGCCCGCACUUUAGUGAACUCGAAGUAGCUACGCGAGACUUCCGACACUUCGUCUACUCAAUCGCGAGAUGCGGUACUGCCUGCACAGUAAGGAUGGAUGGAGAGCAAUUGUGUGCCUUUCAAGAUGUGGAUGGAAGCAGAGCAUUAUUCACACUUUUAUACAAGAAAGAAAAUGGAUGAUGACCUGAUACACGAAAGUGCAAACAAAAAAAAAAAAAGAAAGAAAAUUACUUCGUUCAUUUCAUGUUGACUGUGUGGGCAGGUGUGGAAACUUGUGCUCUGUAUUUAUUGUUCUACGUCAAGUGUGAAAACUGAAGCACCAAAGCUUAACUCAUUUCAGCUGUUGCCACUUCUUUGAACAGUGUGCCUGACCCUUGAUUGUUUUGUUUGACUCCAUCAUUUCCAAGAGCACCUAUUCCAUGUGACUUUGCUUUUUGCAAUGCACGAGUGAGCCUCAUGCGCAAUAAAUACAGCCGCAAUGUAAGGAAAUCUGGACAAUGUUAUUUAGAUUAAAAGUUAAGAAUAGCCGAGAUAUGUUCCUACAGGCACAUCACAGAAUAUCAUUAAGUGGUAUACAAAAAAAAAAAAGAAGGGAAGUGAAUAGCUGUUUUUAUUUUUUUCAAACAUAGCAGAAGUGUGCAGUUUUUAUGCAGUUAACAUAUCUAGAGAGAAGGAAGCACCAUGCUAUGGCCAAAGGUGGAAGACGAAUCUCUACUUGGCGUUCAUGUGUAGUAAUUCAAUAACGAAGCUGUUGUGUAUUCUUUGAUUUAAUUGGGGCACCUCACAUUUACAGUGUGUGGACCAUUUGUGUGGUAGCGCUUAACUCAAGUGUUGUAACACCUACUGAAAGAUGUAUGUGCACCCUUUUAAUGAGGGUGCUUCACCAAAUUGCCAGAAAUACUGCCGAAUAGUUGUAUGUUUGAAUGCGUUAAAUUCAGCCCAUAUUUCCUGGAGCAUUUGGGAGGAUUACUGAUUAAGCUGCCACCUAACACAGCCAAAAGGGAUCAGUUAUCUGGAUUUAUUGUAAUGUGCUUGCAGACAAAGCUUUUUAACAAGGGAUUGGAACUCGCAUAUACUUAGGUACCAAAAUUCUAAAAAUAUAAAUGUACUUUUGAAUGCAAAAACUCAUUUUGCUCCACUGUUAUUUUCACAUACAGUAUUUUAUUUUUUUGUUUCUUGUGCUAAUACCUGUGAAAGAAAGCCACACACAAGGCCAUUAAAACACUGUUUUGGAAUUGUGUUACGAAAGUUUACAUUUGAUGCACAUUGUGCUCAUAAAUGUAUGAGACAUGCACUUCACAAAGUGAGCAUCUGUCAUGCCAGUAGGUGUUUUUCCCCCUUAAUGGCCUAAAAGUAGUGGGUGCGACAUUGAUGCUUGGCUGUGUUUCUUCUGCUUUGAUUUUUUUCAAUUUAUCACGAAGUUUACACCUUUUACAGCUGCAACUUUGUUAUAUUCUUUUCUUUUUUUUGUUUGUUCACCUGUACUGAGCACUCUGGUUCUUGUGAGACAUGAUGACUGGCCUGUUUCUUUUUCCAGUAACUGUAGACUUGUCAUACUUAGCCAUCACAGCUUAGAAAAAAUCUUGGGACCACUACUGCAACUCAGGAAUGCAACCCGCUUCAGGAUGUCUGGACUUAGAUGCAACAGUUGUUAACCAAAAACGUUAAUGGUAAAUCAGCGUGUGGUGCACCAGUGGUGGCAAUAAAAAACAGUGCAGUCAGGAUGCUGGCUCCCAUGUUAAUAAGCCUAGUUUAUCAGCUACGACAUGUUUCUGCAGCAAAGUCCGUACUUCCUCAGCGAAACAUUAAAUUGACACCUUUAUACGAUACAUGCAGAUGCGGAAACGUUUCAGUACUCUCAUUUGGCUUCAGUGCACUAAAUGUUGGUAUCUGGUACGGCCUUUGCUUACUUGUGUUCAUUAUAUAUGUGUCGAUACAUUCCAGUUCAUUACAUUUUGCAGGCUGUUACAUGGCAUUUACGCUCGCCUAGCACAAAAUUGAUAGAUUUUCAUUUAAUAUAUUUGCACUUGACAGUGUCAAUCCUUGAUGUUUCCGCAUCUGCAUGUAACGUAUAAAGGUGUCAAUUUAAUGUUUCACUGAGGAAGUACGGACUUUGCUGCAGAAACAUGUCGUAGCUGAUAAACUAGGCUUAUUAACAUGGGGGCCAGCAUCCUGACUGCACUGUUUUUUUAUUGCCACCACUGGUGCACCACACGCUGAUUUACCAUUUACGUUUUUGGUUAACAACUGUUGCAUCUAAGUCCAGACAUCCUGAAGCGGGUUGCAUUCUCGAGUUGCAGUAGUGGUCCCAAGAUUUUUUCUAAGCUGUGAUGGUCAAGUAUGACAAAGCUGACCUUUGUCAAGUCUACAUUUAUUUUGGCAAUUUCCUGGCUCCUACAUUUAUCCAGCUCUCCUUACUGUCUUCUUUCCUUUCUUCAUCUUACUUCUUUUCCUUCUUCACAAUCUUGCAGUGAAUGUUAUAGUGGUGUUCUUCUGUGCAUAUUGUACGCUUAUAUUUUCCUCCAGAAUUAAUGUGAAUAUAUGAUAAGAUUGCAACAUGGUUUCUGCAUUUGCCAAACUAGGCAUCGACUUGGAUUUUCCUUUUUUUUUUUUUUUAAACUUGCAACAUUGCACUUAAGACGGAAUAGAAACAAAGGGGGCACAUACACAAAGCUUCUAUCUCGUCAUGAGCAUGCUGUUGUAAGUUUGAAAAUUACUUGCCAGCUUAUCUAAAUUCAUACACUGUUAAAUACAAACUUGCAAUACACAGUUUAAGGAAAUUGUGCACUCUAGCUUAAGUGGUACCCGAACAAUAAUUGGCAUCUAUAUUGCAUGCAUUUCCUUUCUUUAACGCUGUGUUCCCGGUACUUUCAGGUCGCAAAUGGCAUGUGCAGAUUACCAUGGCAUAGCAUUCUCGAAAGGGAAGUAGUGAGCCCAGUGCGUUAAAUAGAGGAAGUAUACACAAGAUUUAUGAUGUUUACUGUUUGAGUUCAAGAUAAUCUUCGAAGGGUGUAAACAAUUUUUAGGGUGCACUCGUAUUGUUAUCAAUGUUGUUGCUUAUUCUCUUGCUGUGCAAGUAGCUGUAAUGAAAGUGUUUGUAGCUCACUUGUGAUGUAAUAUGAGUUGCUGCAUUAUUGCAGCAUUCUUGGGGUUUCUCAGAAUCCUAGAAGAAAUUGUUUAGGGCAAAGAAACAAAAUUCCUGCUAACAGAACCCAGUUUCAGCCUCAAUUAAGCAUUUGUAAUGCAAGACCAAGCCAUGCACAUUUCUCUGGAGAGCUACAACAGGCCACCAGUUACAAAACACUUUGUUCUUUUUACUUCAAAAACAGUGAAACCUUCAGCACUGUCUUCUACGAGUGUCUCUUUUAAAACUUUCUGGCUCUCCCUAACACAAUUAGGGACAAGGUUUAGGGAUGAAACCACUUGAGAGUGUUGUUAAAGGUUAACUAAAACUUCUUGCUGUCAUGAUUAGCCAGCGCUUUUGUUUCACUGGGUUAAAAGUUUCUUUGUGAUAGAGAAAGCUUGUAUUUUUGGCACCACAUUUGUUCUGAAAGUGUGGGUUUGGUGCAUUGGUCUCAUUGAGAUGGUUUACUGUGCAUUUGUUUAUCAUGUACAGGCUUUGUGACAAGUCAUUAACAGCACACAAGCACAAUGCUUGUACAUUCUUAAGCAGUUUCGUAAAGAGAUAGUAGCAGCAAUGUAAAAGUGUGCACAGUCAACGAGUCCUGUUUGUAGUAGGCCAUGCACAAAAUUUUACGGUAGACCGAAUGUUGUCAUAAGAGUGUUAUCAUAAAAUGGUGCUGCAAAUUUUGAAGACCACACACACUUGUGUGCUAUCUGCACAGUUAUCUGCACUUCAUUUAUCUGCAUUUCUGUCUGUGUUCCAAGCACUCAGAAUCAGUAUCGUAGGCAGUUUCCUGCAUCGCCAUCUUUUCAGGCUUAAAAUAGAUAUUUCAAUGCUGUUAACCUCAAGAAUACAUUAUAUUCACCUAACUUAAUCUGUCAACUUCCUGUUAAUGUAUCGUGUUCAUAAAUUCAAAGGAUUAUUAAUGCAGUGAUUUGCACAUUUGUGCUGAUUUGAAGGUAAUCAUAUUAUUUUUUAUUAUUUUAUGAAAGUGAAGAUACAUAAUGUUGGUUUGUGUUCAUGCUUUGACUGGUAAACAGUACCAGAGGACUCCCAAGUUCUUAACAAGCACAGUGCUGCUUAGCUUUGGUAGUUUGAUGAAACCCGCCACAUUUAAUAGCUCACUGAUACAACACACACACAUCGAUUCAGUGCACACGUUGUGUUUACCUGUCCUUCUUCUUCAUUCUGUGGCACUGUUUACCAGUUGGGGUUAUAAAAUCUGAAAGCACCACAAAAAAAAAAAAAAUGCUUUCAUGUUCGUAAAUAUUAAUUGGAUCUGAUUUUGUCAUGAUGAAAGUGCUUGUCUAAUGACUUCUUUUGUGUCGCUCGUAACUGUUCAUCAGAGGCUCAUAUAUCAGCAAUCUAUAUAUAUAUAUAUAUUAUAUAUAUAUAUUGUUUUCGUUGUUGCUGAAGUUCAAUAUUAUUGCAAUAGCAUACAGAGUAUAGAAACAUAUAGAGGACCUGAGGUGUUUUCUAAGAUCUAAGAAGGUGUAUACUAUCCUGUGUACUUAAAAAAGGUGUAAACAUAAGUGGUAUUGGUUGCAUUCUUGUUGAAUGCAAAAGUUUUUUCCUGUUAGAUUGUAGUUUUAUAUACUCUAUAGAAGCUUUGGGAUUUGAACCUUGUGUGGAGUACUUGUAGUAUAUACCACAUUCGAGGGGUUUCUUCUGGUUUACUUGUGGAGCUGUGAUUUGUGUUAAUGCAAUUUGAAUGUGCAAGCAAAUUACUCAUUUGAGAUUGUUUUGUAGUAGUUCUGGUAGCUGUGUAUUGUGUAUUCAGCUGUGUUGUUCAUUACCAGUGUGCAUGAUGCCUGCUUGCACUCUUUAGUCUAGUGUGAUGCUGUGUCACAUUUCUUCAGGCUUUCUUACUGUACUGCUCAUGUCAUGUUACUUUCCAACUUUUAACUAAAUUUCUUAGGGCUGUAGCUAUCAUAACCCGAAAAAGAAACAAUAUGCUUUCAGGGGCAGACGAAUGAAACUCUGACCUUGGUCACUUAAAUGGGAUGCUUACAUGCAAACGUCAGCAUGCAAUAUCGCAGUGGAAUGCACUUGCAUUUAGCUCCUUAUGUUGCAGAGCAAGCAACCUCAUUGCUAAGCAUGUAGCACUUGUCACUAUAAUUGGAGCCUUGCGCAGAUAACAGGUGUCUUUUGACAUAUUGAUACCAACAAGAAGUACUGCUUAAUGGAAUCGUUAACUUCACAAAAGUAAUUGAACUAGUGUUUUACUUUGGCUACACCAAAAGUCUGCCAUUAAAUGUCAAAUGUUGACUUCUCUUUUGUUCUUUUUUUUUUUGCUUUUCUUUUGGAACCAGCCCUGUCGGCACAAGGCUUUCCCAUCGCACCCUGCCUCCUGCGUGCCAGCAACAGCAAUGCAGGGCGUCCAUCAACGUCUUCGCGGACCUUCACUUCAACCGUCGCAGUAGACAUGCCGAAGAAGUUCCAGUGCCGACAGUGCCACUACUCGACCAACAUCAUGACCAACCUGCGACACCACGUGCGCGUGCAUUCGGGAGAGCGCCCGUUCAAGUGCUCAGACUGUGGCAAGGGCUUCAUCCAGAAAAUCCAGAUGAUCAAGCACAACUGCACCGCCCGGAUGCGUGACGUCAUCGUGCCCACAUCCGCGGUGUCGCCAACGGGGCUUCCGCCUUCGUCGCCGGGACCACCGGCAAACUCGCUCUUCAGUUGCUCUAAGUGUGGAGAGGCGUUCCUCCGCGAAGCACUUCUCUUGCAGCAUGUAUUGCUCAUGCACAUGACACAGUAAGCCAGCUGCCACCUUUUGACAUAGUUCAGCUGACCACGAAGUAGUUUUUGCCGAGCUGGUUUGUCACUAUGUCAGUAGAAAAGCGCUGAAACAGAACAAAGAAUGAUGAUAACAAAGGUGCCGACUAGCAACUGGUCAGCUACAUUGUGCAGUGCAAAGCUGAAUGUGCAAGCACCAAAUUAAUCUAGUCCCACACUGACGUGCCUCAUAAUCAGAUCGUGGUUUUGGCACAUAAUACCCCAGAAUUUAAAUAAUUGAGCUUUUGAGCCAUAGUUUAGCAUCUACGCUAUGAUGUGUGCAUCAGCUUGAAGUGACCAAAAAGUUUGUAGCCAGCGCAACAUUGUCUGCUCAGGCCACCUUUGUUUGAAGCAUGGCUCAGGCUGUAUUACCUUCGUGUCAGACAGUCAGGCUGUGUGCAAACCCUCUAAUCAGAUGGGCCAUAACACACCGAUCAUUCAUAUGUUGCUGCAGGCAGUCGUCUCCUGCAACUCAUACUGCACAAGGAUGCUACUGCACACAUAUUUCAUGUGCUAACACUGUCCCUGCUUUGCACUUUGGGUGACACUGCAAUUGUGAGUCGGCAUCUAUGUCAUCAUCAUUCUUUGUCCCCUUUUUGUGCUUGUUUGGUGAUCACAUUUAGUACUCAGCUGGCAAGCAUAUGUACUGUAGCCAUGUCACCUUCUGUGACAGUGUGCACAUUUCAAUCAAACACUUGAUAUGCUGGCUUUCAUGACACAUUGUUGCUUUAUUACAGGAAAGCGUGCUUUGAUAAAGCUUGUUCGCUUUGAGAUUGUUAGGUCUAGUGGAUCUUUGCCUCAUAGUGACUAUUCAUUCAUGUACACUGUUCUGUAAACAAUGGCUCCAGGUACAGUUGCACACUGAGGUGAUCACUAUCUCAAGAUACGUUCAUGAUUGGUCUGGCUUGCAACAAUUGGAAGUGCAUGCCAUUGUGUAAAAAUGCAUUAUUCACACACCUAGAAAGGUUAUUUGAUGUCUCUACGUUUGUUUAGAGAUAUCUUUAGACGUGUCUUGCUGCCUUUUGAGGCCCUUUUUUGCACUGUUAGCUAGACGCAGCUGAACCAAGAGUGCAAUUUAGAAGAGUGCUUGAUGAUUGGUGUGCAAGUUAGAUUUCACAUCGUUAAGUGAUCUUUACAGUGUCAAAAUUAUGCAACAGAUGCUGCCAUGCAUUUGUGAAGUUCGAUAUACCAAGGAGCUGUAUGUAGCACUUGCUGUAGGAUGUGUGUGCCAUCUACUGCACAUUUCAGUACCUGGCCAGAUUUUAGGACAACACAGGCACAGCAUCUUUGAUGACUGAAUUUUUUAUUGCAAUAGCAGUUACAUGGACACUCCAGGCGCAUUUAUGCCGUCACUGCGAUGUUCCAUAUAUGUCCAAGUGCGAUAACAUUCUGGCCUCGCACUGUAUACUGUGGGUGCAAGGGAAAGCUUGUGAGGGUGAGCUGAGGAUGGUAGCUCGAGCCCGUGUGCGCUAGGGAAGAAGCGUGCCGUCUUCCAUCGCGCGCAAGGCACCGGGUAGGGGCGAGGUUCUCCAGUGGGCGCAUGGUGCGGCUGAGCGUGGCCGCGAAGGCCCUGUCUUGAAAGCGAUUUGCGAUGGGAGCAGAGUCUAGACACGCCGAGGGCUGAUAGCAUCGUGUGCACUGUUUUCGCCACUUACUUUGCGUUGAAGCGAGAGGCAGCACAAAGGUCAAUUUGCUUGCUGCUGCUCUUCCUCAUGCGAGCAUUUUGAUAGCGAGUGUCCACGAUCAUCGUGUGAGAUGUGUUCAUGUUUGCCUGUGCGCGCUUGACGUCAGGCUUGUUAAUUUAGUUAGUAAGCAAAUGUUUACAAGUUUAUAUGGCCGAUAAAUCUACUAUCCUUGCUUCGUAUAGGUAUCUAAUAAUUUGUUUAUUGCAGUCGAUGCUUUGCCUUUCAGGCGAAACUGCGACUUUUUCGCAAGAUAUUAGUUUUGGUACGAGCAAUGUUUGGCAUGCCACAGCUAAACCUGAAACAUGUAACAGCAUGGGCACAACAGUUUGAGGAGGGAUGUACUUGCUUCACAAAUACCCUGCAGACUGGCAGUUCGACCUUCUUUGAAACAGAGUUAGCAAGGCAUGCUAAGCGUUUUCUCCCGUGUGGUAAAUAUGGCAAUUUUGGCUUCCAAGAAACAGAUGCUACAGCUGGUGAAGCUGUUGCUUUGAAGCUAAAUGUCUAUGUUACUAUGAUAGCUGGCAUGCGCUUUUCUCUCUGCUCAGUGGUGUUUGUGGCUGUUAACGUCCAUCACUGUUAUUGUCUGUGCCAUUCAAACACAUGCAAAAACAAGAUUUCAUGCCAUUGGGAAAAAUGCGAAGAAAAUGAGACGUUGCCUCAGGCAUGUUUACUAGUGUGCCAAGUAUGAAGCACCCACUCCCCCCACACACACACACUCACACUCAUCAAUUUAAAGAAAGAAGAACCCUGGCAGGCAAAAAUGUGCCGUGCACAGUUCCCGUUGAAUGUCUUCAUAGUGAUCAGUUACACUACAUGGUGCAUGCUGCCUCCACGCAUCACACUGAGUCGGAGUUGUUGCGAAGUGCCAGGAGUAUUGAAUGCUUUACUGCUUACGAUUAACGCACACGUAAUAAUACUUCAGAACUUGGAAAGAUACCUUCGAUGGGUUUAUUCUAACCAUACAGGGUCUUCUGUAGACUAGUGCAGCCUCAAGCAGAAAUGUUGAGCCUUUUUCUUACAGCAACUCUUUCAAUAGUUAAUUCUCUGAGGGCAGAAUUUUUUCCCAAAAUUCGGGCCCCGGUGGGUAAUUUUAUUUAUUGCAGCUUCCAGUGGUAGGAAAUGAUCGAAAACUCAUGAAUACAGCAAAAAUUUAUUGCAAACAAUAUUUUGUCUCAAAAAUGCUUUACUUUGCACUGGUAGUACACAUACAAAUACACUAUACAGUACAAGAUCAAGAAAAAUGUGUACCAAAAUUCAUGGUUAUCAAUUUGUUGACCCAAAAAAAUGUUUCAUCAGAAGAAGAAACGCUUGAGCAGUCACUGUGAUAAGAGACACCGUAUGUGGCCCUACCGAAAUCACAACUGCGCACCCCAGUGUACAGGAAUAUGCGAGCUGCAGCCAAAAGGAAAACCACAGCAUACGGCAAAGAAAAAGGAAACUUAUCAAUAUCCUCUGAACUUUGGCCACGCUAGGCUAUAUCUAAGCUACCGGAAACACGGUAGCAACGAAUGUAACAAAUGAUAACACGUCUUAGAGGUAUAGAAGACGAUGUGCGCGCGCGACCGCUUGAGCGAGGGCUCCGAGAUAAACAAAUCGAGUUGUAUGCCCCGGUGAUUGGAAAUGCAAUAUCAAAUGUCUUUGGGUGACUCCAUAGAGAUGGUGCCACCUCUCAACAACCAGUGGUGUCGAAUACAUGCAAAAUAUCAAACAAAACCCUCAAAGGGUUAAUUGACUGCUCGAAGGAGUGUUUGGAGAGCACUUUGGAGAUUUUGUUUGCCUGCGCCAGUACUCCUGCUACUUAAAAAUUUUUGCAGCAUGCAUAAUUUAUUCCUACAGAAUUUUAGUUCUGCGCAUCCAGUAGUUUGCAAACGUUUUAGUCCUUUGACAAGCAUUGAGAACCUUGAUUAGCACAAGCUUGGUAUGUUCCUGUGGUAUUCCUGAAACUCACAAAUAUGAAUGUUCUCUUGCAUGUUUUUCUCAAGAGGCACUUGAUUCCUACCAAGUUCUGUCUUGAUGCUUUGUUAAACAAUCCAUGAAGCUCCGGUGUGCAAUUAACCUAAACUUAGUGAUUUUCCGCCACACAUGUAAUUGCCCCACACACACUUCAAACUUUGUACACACGAGACCCUUGACAUGUAUAACAUCCCUUUCAAGUUUCACUGCACCAGCUUUAAUGGUGUGAAGUAUGUUUGGAGCAAACAUUGUUCACUGCGUAACAGGUUUGCUGUAAAAAAAGUCAUUGGCUUGUCUCUAAUGGAAGAAAUUGCUUGCGUAAGCCCUAGCUUUAUCUGUUUAAAUCAGCCAAGCGCUUCUGAUCUUUUGCUAUCAACCAGAGGUAUGUAAAUGCAAAUAAACCAGUGCUCAAAGACAUCUUUAACCCUUUGAGGCUAAAGCUAUCACCGUGAAUGUACAGCAGGCCUCGCAUAAAUAAUGGCCAUUUUCUUUUAACGUAUUAUGGUCUUGAUUAUACAUUGAAAACAAACACUGUUGGCCAUGGAAGACAUUGUAGACAAGAGCCCCUGUUGUGUGCUCUAUGCUCUGUGCUUAAUAUUUCUUGUGCUGUUUACACAAUGAAAGCCAACCAACUUGCCCAAAUCACCGCACAAAUGCUCUGGAUUAGCUCAGGUGAACUACUGUUCUUUAAUAUGUGCGUAAGGAUUUUUAACCACGUAUCUGUUAUGCAUAUUGUCUUUACCGACAUGCAGCUGGGAGUCAAACCCACAUUCCUAUAGCUGGCACCACGUCUUGGUUAGUGUGCAUGGGAGAGCAGUGGUCGCGCAGAAAGGCAGGCUGCAUGCCAGGAGGUUUUUCGUAGCACAGAAUGAUGAAAAAAGUUUCAGGAAGAUGUGGCAAAAGAAUGUGUGGGAAGAUCUUUGAGAUUACAUCUGCCUUGUCUGUAGACACGCUGACAGAGAGUCAUUGGCCAAACUCAACAGCUACCAAUUUGUUGUCACACUGCAGUGAUAAAGAGAUUGUACUGAAUGAAUGUUUAUUAGCUCACAAGUGUCUGGAAAUGAAUAUUUUUCUUGUGAGUCAGUACUAUUCCACCCACCUGAUUUUUUCUUUUUUCUUCUUGUUUUAUUUCUAUUUUUUUUCUUUUUUUUUUCUUGUACUGUCAAAGUUAAUUCUGUGUGACCUUGCAUUGAUCAGUGCAGAUAUGAUCACAACUAUAGUCAGUGACUUGUCAUGAAUACAGCCGUUAUAAGUGAACUGCUUUAUAUUCACUAGCAAAAAUUCAUCUGAUUCUCUUUCUCCUUCCUCCUGUUUGCUAUUCGUAACACUACCUUCACCUUUUCCAGGCACAGUGUCAUGGAACUCUUCACCGCCUUUAGAGGAGGGCAUGAUCUGUGUUCAUAAGCUGCAAGUGGUAGGCACGUCUGUGAAGGAAUUAACUCAGCCACUCUGUUUAUUGCAAUGCAUCUUCUUGGCUAGGAUGCACACUGUUUUGCGCUUACUUUGACACGAGGCCAGGAUUACCCCUUCUUAAUCCCCUGUUCUUUUGUAUUUUUGCGGGCGGCCUAGUGCUCUGAGCGGUAUUUGUUCCCUCACCUACUGACCUUAGCAUCUUGACUGUAAAUGUGUGUGGUGCAUGACUUCAGCAUGUUCAUUGUUGUUGAACCAAUGGGUUGCUGCCUCUCGAUACCUGUUCAAUCUACAAGGAAACUAUUUUUCCACGAUCAUCAUCAUCAUCAGCUUAUAUUUUAAGCACUUAUUUUAAGAUAAUACUAUUAAAAAAAGGUGUUUUCGCUAUCAUAGUCUGAUGAAGUUUGGCUUCGAAAGCCUUCUGGUAAUAGUUUUCAGGUUGCAAAACACCGAUUUCAUUUUAAGAAGCGCAUCUGCAUUCUUUGUUAUAUUGAGUUUAAUAUUAAAGAGCCAUAUGAACACUUGGCACAUUGAUUUCCCAUGCAUGCUUAGGAAUUGCAGUAUCUCAAGAGCAAUCCAGAGCACUCUUUUUUCAGUGUCUUUCAUGGCCCAUCAAGUUGUUUGCUCUAAAAUUAGAAUGAAACAUUCCAGCCUCUACACUAAAAACGGGUCUAAUCCUCUCUUGGGUAGGAUGACAAAAUGUGCUUCUGUGGGCCUCUACGAAGCCGCCACAAAGCAUGAAUUUGUCUUUCUCAUAUUUGAUCAAAAUGCACCGCUGGUGUUGUGGGACAAAUGUCACGUUUUCUACUUAAGCACCAAAUAUAGCCCUGUUAGUAAGUUGUAUGGCAUGCACUUCCAAUGUUUAAAAGAUUGCAAUGUUUUCUAGGGUUUUAGGAUGCUCUAGAAAUAAAGCUGGCCUUUGUUUUACAAACAGUUGGACACAUGCAGUCGAUAAAGUUUUAAGUAUUGUGAAUAGGAGGACCAGGCCAAAAAUGUUUUAAUGUGAGGGCCUGGCAGGAAUCACAUAAAUUAAAAUUCUGCUGUCAUGCACAUGUAAGAUUUGUUUCGGCUGUUGUGCGUAGUGCCUGUUCAUUGUGUCAAACAUACUCAUUGUUGCUAGAGGUAAUAGGACAGUUCAGCAGCAGCAGUUGAAUUGAUCUGCAGUUUUCAGUGGGAGCAGGCAAGAGCUAGGUUAGAAGUGUGAGCUUGGACUUUGCCUGAGAUAGCAAGUUAGUUGUACAUUUGUGAAACAUGCUUUUGAUGUUUGACAUUUAGCUAUAAAUGCUGGAGAAAAGUUUACUUCAUACAACCCUGAUUGUUCACCAUGUGACUUCACCAUCUUAGGGUGGGGUAUGUCUAGCUGCCAUGUCUGGAGAGGAAAGCCUGGAGACGAGUCGUGCAAUAAAUGCAAUGUACGAGGGUUCUAAGCUGAACUAGUUAGUUUACGUUGUGUAUGGUGAACAACACAGAUGACGGGACAAGUGAUAGAGACAGAACAGAUGUGCUGAUUAUCAACUGAUUUUUGUUCAGAGUUGUUUAGUAUAUAAGGCAGCUUGCACAAAAGCAGGAUGAUAUUCAUGAAAUGCUAUCCUAUCAAUUUAUAGAUAGCUUUGUGCUUUUGUGUGAUCUGCCUUAUGCACUGUACAACUCCAAAUAAAAAUAAUUUGGUAGUGGGCACAUCCGUCCUGUUUGUAUUACUUGCACUGUCAUCUGUAUUGUUCACCAUGUUAGAUGUGACAUGGCUGCAGGAUCAGUAAAGACAAAACCCAAGUCCAUUGUAUGAUUUUAACAGUUGAUGAUGAUGAAUGCUAGGUUUGCUUCGUUUUGGCAGACUUGAUGCUAUAGCUUUGUUGAUACUAUUAUUAUUAUUGUUAAGUGAAGAAAAAUGGGAAGGCAGGUUGCUGACAAUGUCAGGAACAGAAAAUGGCAACAAGCUUUUGCUCUACUCACCUCAGUCCUACAGCCAUGUCAUAAGGGUGUAAAUAUUUGAAAUAUUUGAUUCACCUUGAUUUGGUAUUUCACAGAAGCUCGUUGUUUUGCGUGCCAUCUAGACAGCUAUGUAAGCUCACAGUGUAGCUAACUGCAGACACAGAAUUUGAGUUCUUCUCAUUCUUGAGCUGUUUUGAAGUUAGAACUGCUUAAUGAAUGUCUGUAGCUAUGCUAUGCUGUGCAACUUUUAUCAUGGUCAAGUUUUAUUUUCCUAAUAAUAAACAUGAGUAGUUUAUUUUACAAAUCUUUAUAGCAUUACAAAAAGCAUUCAGAGAAUGAGCUACAGUUCUUUUAUCCUAUGUUAUUUUACAGAGACCUCAAGCAAUAUGCAAAAAUCUCUCUCUAGCCUUGCAGGUAUUAGUGAGUAGAACCAAAUAGACACUUCCCUUUUACAAACUAACUGCUUGUUCUCUUGCACUGUAAAAUACGUUUUUGUUUUUUUAGACAAGCUUAUGUUAUAUUUGUCAAGUUAAUGCAGUGCUUGAGUUAUUUAGCAUGAGUGCUGUCAAUGACAUUGAACGUCUCAUACUCUGCAUUGUUUUAUUCAUUGUAAACUGCGUAAAUGUAUCUGGUAUCUCUUUGACCAUGACUGCAGUUCAAAUCAAAUACAGCUAUUACUGCCUCCGGGUACAUAUAGAUGCAAAAUCAGCCUUCCUUGUACAGCUGCAGCAGUUGGUACUUCUGGCUGGAUGCAGAAAUUUGCUCUUUCCUAGUUAAAACUGUGUGUUCUGGCAUAAAUUAAUAUGCAAAUGAAAAAGUAAAAUCAUAGACAACGCUUACACAUGUCUGCUUAAUAUUGCAAUGUAGAAUUAUUAGUAGUCAGUCGCCUGAAUGACUGUCGCACUGCGUUUGAGAAUGUGGAAAUGAAAGACAUGUUUCAGUUUAUUUUGACUCGCUCGUGUUUCAGUUUGUGCUCUCAGAACAUGUGUUAGUGAAACUACUUACAUCAGUCUCUUUGAGAGGUAUGCACUCUUGUGUUUCGUUAAUGUGCAAACAGCCUUUUUUUUAAUUACUGUUCAACAACUGUGUCAUUAAUGAUGUACUUUUGUCAUACCUAGGCAUAUAAUGAUUGCUGAGAACAAGUUAAGCCAAGGUUCACAGUCUACAAGACCUUUCUUUUCCUCUCAAUAUAUUACAAAAAUAUCUCGAUACAUUUAGGACUGUGCAAAAGUGUGUGUUUACUUGAGACAGUUUAUUGCCUCAAGGUGGGGUUAUAUUGUGUGCACUAACACAGCAUUGUGUUUUCAUUAGCACCCCCCUCCUUUUCUUUUUUCCAUGUAUGUCCUUCUUGUUCCUAAUGUCAAAGACUAUAUACUCAGGUUGAUUCUAUUUAUGAUGAAAUUUCUCUCGUAACACUGCAUGUUGACAGUAUGUGCUCGGGCUUUGUUCCGUUGGUAGCGUUAAAGCUCACGCCAAGAUAAGUUCUGCUGUUCUGGGACUGUGUGUACGAGGACUUCCAACCUAGCCAGACUGUUUUUAGCAGGCAUUUCUUUUAAGCUAGCUUGCUGUCGUUUUGUUAGUCUUCUGGUGUUUAUGUGUGUGUCCUGUUCUGGUGCUUCGUGAUUUCAUUUGAGAGAAAAAGCGCAAGCGUACUGAAGAUGUGUAGCUGCUGAUACGCCAUUGCACGUUUAGCGCUUGGCCUGGACUCAUUGUGUCAUUGUUGAGUGCUGUGCAGUUGGAAGCAUGUUAUGUCAUGUGAGCAGUUGGAGCUAAGAGCUUCCUUCUUUUAAGACUAUGCAGACUACUGUAGAAUGGCACUUAUAUUCUGCCAAUAAAGGCUAUACUUUUGGCAUUUCAUAC
Long non-coding RNA from Dermacentor silvarum, 15301 nucleotides. RefSeq lists it as uncharacterized. The transcript has 2 exons. NCBI's taxonomy places the organism in Eukaryota, Metazoa, Arthropoda, Arachnida, Ixodida, Ixodidae. The record is from RefSeq and is a predicted model, not a curated record.